RNAcentral lists this ribosomal RNA (465 nucleotides) under uncultured bacterium. RNAcentral describes it as "partial 16S ribosomal RNA". It matches the Rfam family "Bacterial small subunit ribosomal RNA", at positions 338 to 795 of the family's 1533-position model. The record is from RNAcentral.
CCUACGGGUGGCAGCAGUAGGGAAUUUUCGUCAAUGGGCGCAAGCCUGAACGAGCGAUGCCGCGUGAGUGAAGAAGGCCUUCGGGUCGUAAAGCUCUGUUGCGGGGGAAAAAAGGCAGCAUCAGGAAAUGGGUGCUGACUGAUGGUGCCCCGCCAGAAAGUCACGGCUAACUCCGUGCCAGCAGCCGCGGUAAUACGGAGGAUCCGAGCGUUAUCCGGAUUUAUUGGGUUUAAAGGGUGCGUAGGCGGUCAGGUAAGUUAGAGGUGAAAGCUCGAUGCUCAACAUCGAAACUGCCUCUGAUACUGUCUGACUAGAGUGUAGUUGCGGAAGGCGGAAUGUGUGGUGUAGCGGUGAAAUGCUUAGAUAUCACACAGAACACCGAUUGCGAAGGCAGCUUUCCAAGCUAUUACUGACGCUGAGGCACGAAAGCGUGGGGAGCGAACAGGAUUAGAUACCCGGGUAGUC